CAGCAGCCGCGGGAAUACGAAUGGGGCUAGCGUUGUUCGGAAUUACUGGGCGUAAAGGGCGCGUAGGCGGCCAUUCAAGUUAGAUGUGAAAGCCCUGGGCUCAACCUAGGAAUUGCAUUUGAUACUGUUUGGCUUGAGUUCGGGAGAGGUGAGUGGAAUUCCCAGUGUAGAGGUGAAAUUCGUAGAUAUUGGGAAGAACACCAGUGGCGAAGGCGGCUCACUGGACCGACACUGACGCUGAGGCGCGAAAGCGUGGGGAGCAAACAGGAUUAGAUACCCCAGUAGUCCCUGUCUCUUAUAC
Molecule: ribosomal RNA, 301 nt
Filed under: uncultured bacterium
Lineage: Bacteria
Description: partial 16S ribosomal RNA
Rfam family: Bacterial small subunit ribosomal RNA
Source: RNAcentral